This 454-nucleotide ribosomal RNA is filed under the name Nothes sp. 1 MB-2015. RNAcentral's name for it is "partial 16S ribosomal RNA". The record is from RNAcentral. Lineage: Eukaryota; Metazoa; Arthropoda; Insecta; Coleoptera; Curculionidae.
UCGAACAGACCUAAUUACUUUAGCUUCUACACCAAAAUUUUAUUUUAAUCCAACAUCGAGGUCGCAAUCUUUAUUUUCGAUAAGAACUCUCAAAAAAAAUUACGCUGUUAUCCCUAAGGUAAUUUAAUCUUUUAAUCUUUAAAUAAGGAUCAGUUAUUCAUAAAUUAAUGUUUUAAUAUAAAAAAGUUCAACAAAUUUUUAAAUCACCCCAAUCAAAUUAAUGCCAAUAUAAAAAAAUUUAAUUCUAAUAAUAAUUAUAAAUACACUAAUAAAACUCUAUAGGGUCUUCUCGUCUUUAAUUUAUAUUUAAGCUUUUUUACUUAAAAAUAAAAUUCCAACAAAAUUAAAUAGAGACAGUUAUUUUCUCAUCUAACCUUUCAUUCCAGCUUUCAAUUAAAAAACUAUUGAUUAUGCUACCUUUGCACGGUCAAAUUACCGCGGCCAUUUAAAUUUC